Folsomia candida is the source of this 1291-nucleotide long non-coding RNA. RefSeq lists it as uncharacterized. The record is from RefSeq and is a predicted model, not a curated record. NCBI's taxonomy places the organism in Eukaryota, Metazoa, Arthropoda, Collembola, Entomobryomorpha, Isotomidae. The transcript has 6 exons.
ACUGGCUGGAAGCCAACGAACAUGCAUUUCACCCCUCAAGAAUGGACGUUACAUGUAUUUUUUUUCCCUUAUGGCGAUCCCCCUAAAGUGAUUUUAUUGGCUGGAGCUGCUUCUUCUCCGUGACGUCACUGGCGGGUUGGCAGUUUCGGCUGCAACCGCACACAGCACAACCACCACCAUUUUCUGCUUUUCGUAGUGCAUUUUUCCUUCUCAUCACAACAACUCUCUCAAUGUCGGCCAAUUGAUUAAUUAAUUAUUAAACGUAUAAUAAAUUAACUAAGAUUACACGUAUGAAUAAUGCACCAAGAUUAAACGUAUCAAUAAUUAAAACGUAUCAAUAAUUAACGUAAUUAAUUAAAUAAUUAAUUGAAAUAAAUAAAUCAAUCAAUAAUUAACUAAGAUUGCACGUACAAAUAAUUGUGAUUCUUCAUUUCAAGAUAACACAAAUAAUUUGGACCGUCUGUUAAUUAAAAAGAGUUAUCAUCGUUCCAACAGUACACGUACAAAGAUAAGGAUUCUUUCUCCAAUCAAGGAGGGUCCGUUAAGUAGCAAGAGUUAUCAUCUUUUCAACAGUAUAUGUACAAACUACAACGAUUCUUUCUCCACUCUAGGACGGUCCGUUAGUUAUAAAAGUUAUCAUCGUUUCAAUAGUAUACGUACAAACUACAACGAUUCUUUCUCCACUCAAGGACGAGCCGUUAAUAAACAAGAAUUCUCUUGAUUUCAAAAGUAUACGUACAAAUUACAACGAUUCUUUCUCCACUCAAGGUUAGACAAUUAAUUAAGUGGGAUUAUUUAUUUCAACUUUCAUGUGACAAUUACGUAACAGUGUUUUUCGUUUCUCCUCGUGUGAACAUUAUUCGUAUAUUAUUAAAAGGAUUAUUUCUCCACUCAAGGUAAGAUUAGUGAUUAAGUAGUAUUAUGUAUUUCUACUUUCAAGGUCACACAAUUAAUUAACAAUAUUUUUUCUCAUUUCAAGGACGGUCUGUUAAUUAGCAAGAGUUAUCAUCGUGUCAACACGUACAAAUGAUAAGGAUUGGCUAGGAAGGGGCCAUAAAUUUGCAAGAAUUCUCCUCUUGUCCACAUUACACGUGUAAAGAUUGAUUUUUUUCCUUGAAGGACGAAGAAAUCAAUUUGUGGGUGACAAGCAAGGCUGAGUGCAUACAACACAAAAAUUCAAUGAUUCAACUAAUAGUAAUAGCAAAGUUAUAUCAAUUAGUUAAGAGACAUAAUCAGCUAUAUAAACAAUCUAAAAGUUUUGGUCAGACAAGAGCUCAACUUUUGUAUCAAU